ACAGGUCAUUGGAGCUUUAUUUCAGAUGUGGGUGAAAUAAGGAGAUGGGUACCUUUUAUGUGCUUAUAUUCAAUCAAUAGGAAUAGACUCUUUUGGGACUUUCAACUGAUCACACGCAAAAGCUUAAGCUCUGAAGGGGCACAGAGACCACACAAGCUCUGAAACAUCAGUCUGAUUACAAGAGUAGUUUGAAGUCUAAUGCUCCGUGGAAGGGUGUUAUACAUUUCCUUUUAUUUUUAUUCCCUCCAUGAAGUAGUUUAUGUUUCACUUCAAUGGCUGUAAUGGGAUUCUGUGUUUUCACUCUUCUGGUGAACUAUACAAUUCUCCAAGAAACACGGUAAAAUGAAAUGAGGUUUAUUGGCAUGUGCUUUUAACAUGCAAAUAAAAACUCUAUGAUUUAAUGUCUUUCAACUUUUUUCUUAGUAAUCCUGAUUUUUUCUGUCAUGGGGGAAUUAAUAAUUUUCUGCAUGGUUAAAAUGAAUAAAGGCAGAGUGUGGAAUAAGUUUUAGCUAGUGUUUUUGUGGUCCUUUCAACUGAAGAAGGAUAUGGAAAAAUAACAAUAAGCAUAUAAUUUUCCACAAUGUGUUAUUUUAGUGAUUAGCACCUUGAGAACUGUCUCAUUUCUAGAAAAGAAAGAUUCUGAGUGAUGUUGUCUGCAGCAUAACUUUGAUGCACAACAUGACUCUGCCUAUUUCAUCCUGUUAUUCCUUUCCCUUUAGUCUAAAAUCUUGCUGCUAAGCCCUAAAUCCUGCUUGGAAAUUCUUGCCAAGCCAUCAUUUGGCAUUAUUACCUGCUCAGGCGAGGUUUUUCACCUGAGGAUAGCACUUUCUAUACAGAUUAAUAAAUUUUACAUCUAUACAUUAUGUAUAAUAAUGUAUUAAUAAAUCUAUACAUCAUUUUAAAUAAGAGCCAUAUUUAAGCCAACAUUAAAGAGUAAGGUUCUUGGUUUACUAAUAAAAAACAACAAAGCUGAGUUCUCUCAUAGCACUGACUUUCACUCACUGGACCCCACAUGCAAUUAUAACAGAAGAUACUGACUAGUCUUUUAGUGAAGUCUGCACACAAACACAGGGUACCCGAGAUGUCAGAUGUCAUUACUAUAAAAAUGUCUAGAUUUAGUGAAUUAACCCACUGUAACCAAACAUAAAUUUCUUUUCAAAGUUCCACUAUUUCCACCAAAAUUUUCUUACUUGGUGCUAGAGUCUUUAUAGAUAUCUUAUUUUAGCAGUCAGCAUGACUUAGAAACAAGGGUUAUUAUUAAUUUUUAUAUUGAUUGGCAAAUUAAAGUGACUCAAUCAGAGGCAAAGUAACGAAUCUGGGAUUCAAAUAUUAGCUGGUCUGAUUCCAAAACUGAUGACUUUUUUUUCUCACCAUACCAUAUGCAUACCAUUAUGAUUGAACCCUGAGGGAUUUCAGAUAACUGUUGUAAUUAUUAUUAUUAGAGAAAUAUUUGGUCUAAAAAUAGAUGGCAACAAAAAAAUUAAGACAUUAUCUCUGUCUUUUAGAAGCUAAUAGUCUGAUAGAAAAAGGGUAGUUGAAACAC
Molecule: long non-coding RNA, 1543 nt
Filed under: Pan troglodytes (chimpanzee)
Lineage: Eukaryota; Metazoa; Chordata; Mammalia; Primates; Hominidae
Description: long non-coding RNA NONPTRT003567
Source: RNAcentral